Molecule: transfer RNA, 83 nt
Filed under: Halospina denitrificans
Lineage: Bacteria; Pseudomonadati; Pseudomonadota; Gammaproteobacteria
Description: tRNA-Leu
Rfam family: tRNA
About the family: Transfer RNA (tRNA) molecules are approximately 80 nucleotides in length.
Source: RNAcentral
GCGGGUGUGGUGGAACUGGUAGACACACAAGACUUAAAAUCUUGAGGCCUUUGGCCGUGCCGGUUCAAGUCCGGCCACCCGCA